GAUGAACGCUGGCGGCGUGCCUAAUACAUGCAAGUCGAGCGAACGGACGAGAAGCUUGCUUCUCUGAUGUUAGCGGCGGACGGGUGAGUAACACGUGGAUAACCUACCUAUAAGACUGGGAUAACUUCGGGAAACCGGAGCUAAUACUGGAUAAUAUUUUGAACCGCAUGGUUCAAAAGUGAAAGACGGUCUUGCUGUCACUUAUAGAUGGAUCCGCGCUGCAUUAGCUAGUUGGUAAGGUAACGGCUUACCAAGGCAACGAUGCAUAGCCGACCUGAGAGGGUGAUCGGCCACACUGGAACUGAGACACGGUCCAGACUCCUACGGGAGGCAGCAGUAGGGAAUCUUCCGCAAUGGGUGAAAGCCUGACGAAGCAACGCCGCGUGAGUGAUGAAGGUCUUCGGAUCGUAAAACUCUGUUAUUAGGGAAGAACAUAUGUGUAAGUAACUGUGCACAUCUUGACGGUACCUAAUCAGAAAGCCACGGCUAACUACGUG
Molecule: ribosomal RNA, 497 nt
Filed under: uncultured bacterium
Lineage: Bacteria
Description: partial 16S ribosomal RNA
Rfam family: Bacterial small subunit ribosomal RNA
Source: RNAcentral